Molecule: ribosomal RNA, 468 nt
Filed under: uncultured bacterium
Lineage: Bacteria
Description: partial 16S ribosomal RNA
Rfam family: Bacterial small subunit ribosomal RNA
Source: RNAcentral
GACGAACGCUGGCGGCGUGCUUAACACAUGCAAGUCGAACGGAAAGGCCCUGCUUUUGUGGGGUGCUCGAGUGGCGAACGGGUGAGUAACACGUGAGUAACCUGCCCUUGACUUUGGUAUAACUUCAGGAAACUGGGGCUAAUACCGGAUAGGAGCUCCUGCUGCAUGGUGGGGGUUGGAAAUUUUCGGCGGUUGGGGAUGGACUCGCGGCUUAUCAGCUUGUUGGUGGGGUAGUGGCUUACCCAGGCUUUGACGGGUAGCCGGCCUGAGAGGGUGACCGGCCACAGUGGGACUGAGAGACGGCGCAGAGGCCUACGGGAGGCAGCAGGGGGGAAUAUGGCACAAUGGGAGGGAGCCGGAUGCAGCAACGCCGCGUGCGGGAUGACGGCCUGCGGGUUGUAAACCGCUGUCGCCUGUGACGAAGCGGGAGUGACGGUAAUGGGUAAAGAAGCACCGGCUAACUACGUG